UGUGGCGUGGGACGAUGAAGACCGGAGCCAGCUGCGAGACUUGAUGUGAAUUGCAGGAAUCAUUGAGCACUGAUUUUUCGAACGCACAUUGCGGCCUCGGGUCCUUCCCGGGGCCACGUCUGUCU
Molecule: ribosomal RNA, 125 nt
Filed under: Peucetia viridana
Lineage: Eukaryota; Metazoa; Arthropoda; Arachnida; Araneae; Oxyopidae
Description: partial 5.8S ribosomal RNA
Rfam family: 5.8S ribosomal RNA
About the family: 5.8S ribosomal RNA (5.8S rRNA) is a component of the large subunit of the eukaryotic ribosome. It is transcribed by RNA polymerase I as part of the 45S precursor that also contains 18S and 28S rRNA.
Source: RNAcentral